AUGUUGCUGCGGUUAAAGGCUCGCAGUUGAAUGUCGGUUACUAUACGCAUUGAGAUGCCGAGACGUUGCGAGCGUGUUGUUUAUUCAUCACUGCAAGCCGUCUCUCCAAGUGCAUCUCUGGCGUGCUAACGUUUGGAUCAGCGCGGGCAUGCUCGUUUCUCUCGCUCGUGUGCACCUGUGUACCGUGCGGGUGGGUAUUGUUCCGUUGUUGGUCAUGACACCUUGAGUAAAUCAGAGUGCUUAAAGCAGUCGUUGAAACACUUCGACACUGCGGCGCAAGUCGUAUAUGUCUAUGGUGACGUCGUAACAGACGUUUGGACAUUGUCUUUGCUUUGCAUGGUACGUCGGAAGACGCCGGGUAAGUUGGUUGCGCUUACGGUCAGACACUCAUGUCGCCUCGUGUGGCGUGUGUGCGCGUGCACCAACGAACCCUGAAUGAACUGAAAGGGAUGGCUCGAAGGCAUUGGUAUUGCGGGGCGAGAGGUGAAAUUCUAUGACCCCCGCAAGACUUCCCGAAGCGAAAGCGUCUGCCUAGGACGUCUUCAUUAAUCAUGAACGAAAGUUGAAGGAUCGAAGGCGAUCAGAUACCGCCCUAGUUGCAACCGUAAACGAUAUCAACCAUCAAUCCGUCAAAGCGUUCCCUUGCGUCCGUUGGGCUUGUGAUUAAUAGUCGCGGCUCAUCGGGCAAAGUGUAAGCGCUUGAUGGGCAGCUCUUCUAUCACGGGAAACCAGAGUGUUUCGGUUCCGGGGGGAGUCUGGUUGCAAAGCUGAAACUUAAAGGAAUUGACGGAAAGGCACCACCAGGCGUGGAGCUUGCGGCUCAAUUUGACUCAACACGGGAAAUCUCACCAGACCCGAACAUCUCUAACGAUUGACAGACUGAAAGCUCUUUCUUGAUGGAGUGGAUGGUGGUGCAUGGCCGUUCUUAGUUGGUGGAGUGAUCUGUCUGGUUAAUUCCGAUAACGAACGAGACUCCCCCCUGCUAACGGAUCAUUUGGUCUAGUAGACGGUGCGAUUCGAGCAAUGGGGCCACACGGUCGUAAGACCUUGGCCUCGGACGAUGUCCACUGGUCCUUGGUACGUUGGCUCGUGUGUGUGCCCGCCGGUUCGCCGGUGCGGCGUGCGUGCCUGUCGACAAAGUGCCUCGGAAUACGUUUCUUCUUAGAGGGAUUGACGGCUUAUAAGUCGUAAGAAACAGAGAGCAAUAACAGGUCUGUGAUGCCCUUAGAUGUUCUGGGCUGCACGCGUGUUACAAUGCCGGUAUCAACGGGUUUCAAACACUUUCAGUGGCCUACUCCGAGAGGAGCGGGAAAACCUAUCAAACACCGCAUUGCAUACCGUACCCUUUUGGGUGCGGCGCAUUUACGGCAUGCUUGGGACUGGGGCUUGCAAUUAUUCCCCACAAACUAGGAAUGCCUUGUAGUGGCGGGUCACAGAGCCCGCUGCGAAUCUGUCCCUGCCCUUUGUACACACCGCCCGUCGCUACUACCGAUUGAGUGUACCAGUGAGAUUUUUGGACUGGCGAACCGCGAGCGCGCAAGUGCUUGCGGCGAACGACAUAAAGAGACUCGAACUGGUGCACUAGAGAA
Molecule: ribosomal RNA, 1589 nt
Filed under: Hyperoche martinezi
Lineage: Eukaryota; Metazoa; Arthropoda; Malacostraca; Amphipoda; Hyperiidae
Description: bacterial SSU rRNA
Rfam family: Eukaryotic small subunit ribosomal RNA
Source: RNAcentral